Helianthus annuus (common sunflower) is the source of this 982-nucleotide long non-coding RNA. RefSeq lists it as uncharacterized. The record is from RefSeq and is a predicted model, not a curated record. Lineage: Eukaryota; Viridiplantae; Streptophyta; Magnoliopsida; Asterales; Asteraceae. The transcript is spliced from 4 exons.
CUCUCGUGUAUAUGUGCAGUCAUCACACACAAACAACUAAAUCUUUCACCUCCCUGCUCCCUCAUCUUCCCCAUCUUCUUUGUGUAAACCCUAACCCUUCAAGACUCACACCUUCCCUACACUUUACCCUCAUCUACACUCAUAAAACAACCACAACCAAACACACCUCUCGAUCUCCCUCAUCUUCUCUCUAUGAUCGGUGACCGGAAACCCGGUGAAUUCCAGGGAACUCCGGCGGCUGCCGGCGGUUCGUUUCGUCAGGCGAGACCCCCCCUCUCGACGACAACACCCCCUACUUCUCUCCUUCUCCGGCCGUUCGUUUCCGGCUACACACCACCCCCCCCUCUGUUCCAUCUGUUCCGGCGGUUCAGGUCAGAAAAAGAGAGAGAGAGACAUAGGCUGAUGAGAGAGAGAGAUCGGCGAGGAGGGUAGCGCCGCCGUCUGCAGCGGUGGACGACAGUGGCAGUGGCGGUGGUCCUCUGCUCGGGUCUCGAUUCGAAGCUCGGUUCAAGCCGGUCCUGGUUCAGCUUUGUUCUCAAUCCAGUUCAGGCUCAUGGUUCGGUUUAACAAGACAUCUGCGGGUCAUACUCGGUCUCGAGUUCGGGGCAACGUCAGUCAACAGCUCAGUUGGGUUUCGUUUUGGACUUUGGUCAAACCAGGUCAAACCUGGUCAACUGUGGUCAAACAGUCGCGGGUUCGAGCCAACAUCAGACAACAACCGCUUUGGUUGUUUCGGUUCAGUCUAAACAAGUCAACAACAGCCAACUGGUCCGCGCGGGUUACUCGCGAGAUACGGGUAAACACCCUCGUUCGUUCUCUUGGAAUUCCGUCACUCAUGCACCAUCGUUUGCCCAUAUAGGGUGACCUCGGUGUUCCGUCCUCCUAUCUCAUCAACUCGUCAUACUUGGAUAAUCGGAAGACUUAGCAAAAUUGUGGGUGUUGACGAUGCUUGGAAUCUAGUAGGAUGCUUAGAUACACACCU